RNAcentral lists this long non-coding RNA (575 nucleotides) under Phaseolus vulgaris (common bean). RNAcentral's name for it is "long non-coding RNA (PVUL_LNC005249)". The record is from RNAcentral. Lineage: Eukaryota; Viridiplantae; Streptophyta; Magnoliopsida; Fabales; Fabaceae.
UGUCACGUUUUAAGUUGGUUUCACACUUUGGAUUCAACUCAAGAUCUAGUCAGCCGGUGAGUUCAAAAUUUUCUUUUCUGGCAACAGUUGUAUCAUUGGUCCAAAUUGACAGCCAGGGAAUCACUGUAACAACACAAUAAUGCAUCUUUUCGUGAGAGCAGAAAAACACAGGCCUUUCCAUGAAUCAGAAGCCACGCCUCAAAUCAUGAACCAUUAUUACUCUUGGAGGGUGAAACCCACGUUGAUUGGAACUAUUCCCUCUAAACAUUGUUCAAACCAAAGGAUUGAAAUUUUUCAUUUCCUCUGUUAUAUCACAUUCUCUUUUUCAAUGUUGCUACCAAUGCAACAACACCACCAACCCCCUCAGACUUGCUAAUGCUAGUUUUCACUCGCACUACAACAACUCAUUCAACCUAAAAUAUAGCAGUACGGAAUCUGUAUACAGAGACAAUAAAGUUAAUGACAUCUUGUACCUAAUCCCUCUGUUUUCUUGUGCUGAGUGCAGAUUAGACCCCCUUGCUCUUUUGUUGUAUCUGAAUGUGUAUGGACCCGAAGGAGAGAAAAAUCUGACACCC